Molecule: ribosomal RNA, 429 nt
Filed under: Bacteroidota bacterium
Lineage: Bacteria; Pseudomonadati; Bacteroidota
Description: Bacteroidetes bacterium partial 16S ribosomal RNA
Rfam family: Bacterial small subunit ribosomal RNA
Source: RNAcentral
UAGGGAAUCUUCGGCAAUGGGGGGAACCCUGACCGAGCAACGCCGCGUGAGUGAAGAAGGUUUUCGGAUCGUAAAGCUCUGUUGUUAAGGAAGAACGAGUGUGAGAAUGGAAAGUUCAUGCUGUGACGGUACUUAACCAGAAAGGGACGGCUAACUACGUGCCAGCAGCCGCGGUAAUACGUAGGUCCCGAGCGUUGUCCGGAUUUAUUGGGCGUAAAGCGAGCGCAGGCGGUUAGAAAAGUCUGAAGUGAAAGGCAGUGGCUCAACCAUUGUAGGCUUUGGAAACUGUUUAACUUGAGUGCAGAAGGGGAGAGUGGAAUUCCAUGUGUAGCGGUGAAAUGCGUAGAUAUAUGGAGGAACACCGGUGGCGAAAGCGGCUCUCUGGUCUGUAGCUGACGCUGAGGCUCGAAAGCGUGGGGAGCGAACAGG